Dermochelys coriacea (leatherback sea turtle) is the source of this 1055-nucleotide long non-coding RNA. RefSeq lists it as uncharacterized. The transcript is spliced from 3 exons. NCBI's taxonomy places the organism in Eukaryota, Metazoa, Chordata, Testudines, Dermochelyidae. The record is from RefSeq and is a predicted model, not a curated record.
GGCGGCGGCGGCGGCUGCCUCCUGGGGGCAGCCAGCCCCAGCGACCCCGCUGCCUUUUAUACCAUCUCUGCACUAGCCCAGAAGCUGGCAGAAUCCUACUGGGCACAGCCUGUUCUCAAGCCACUCGGCAAAUAUUAACGGAUGAGAGUGAUGGAGAAGUCGCCCUUGCUAAACGGUCUCUGCGCCCCGGUUCACAAACCACAAGUGACUGCUGGAAAAAAAAAAUAUAUAUAUAUAUAUAUUGCUCUUUUAAAGGAUCAAGUGUACGCGGCCAUUGAAUCCCCCAGCGGAGCAGCUGCAUGCCUGGGGAUUCUUCUGGGGGCCUACUGGAAGUUUGAGGGCUGCACCCAGUUUUGGGAAAUAACAUUCCGUCAAAAUUACAUCCAACCUCACCCAAGCAACAAAGCCGGGGUGAGUGAAGACAUCACUAACAACAACAAGGGGACCAGAGACUUAGCACAGGUCUCAAAGAGAUAGCACCUUUUAUACAAGAAAAGAUAUCUGACGGGUGGACAGGUCUGUGGUCAGUUUAAAACAUUCCUUCAGGAGCAUUCUACUCCAGAACUGUCACAGACUGAUCAACGGUCUUAUAUGUCUACCAUAUAAAGAGAAUUGCUCUUAUGUUUAACUCUUUUGAUGCUGGAUAUAUCAAGCUCUCCCUAGGCAUACAUUUGUUUGGCAGUCUGGAGGAUGUCGGCAGACUAAAGAUUAGUGAGCUAAAGAUAGCACAGAAUUGGAACGUAAGUCUGCCCUGAGUAUUUUUUUCCCAAAAUCUGAUCUUCAUUGUGUAAAGCAUUUCCUAUCCCCAUACGUGGUAAAUGAGACCAAGCUAUCCAAAGGUCUGUUCUCCUUGAGACCUUCCCAGGAGCUCAGUGCAUUUGUAGUAUCUCCCAAAUUUUGUAGCUAGGAGAGGGAAGAAGACACUCUAAAGAGCAUGCUGUCCUGCGGUACAGUCAAUAAUGUCUCCCCAAUAGGCCUGUUACCUACAACUAAUUGAGGAUUUGGAUAGCCAAUUCUUAAAGCUACACGUAUUUUUCCAAAGGGGACUCUCUCUC